AAUUUAGGAGAAUCAUUUCCCAACACUAAGGAUGUUACAAAAGGUAACAGAAAAUAGAAAGAAUAAGGCAUCUGAAGCUUAAAUGACUAUUGGGAAUUCCAGAAUAACUCUGCAUUAUUAAUUUUGGUAAGUAAAAAGUUUAUAUUGUGUACAUAUCCAGAUUGUUAAUUUUAACUCUUCUUGAAAUAUAAUAUUGUCUGGUUUUGUAGUAUAUGGAUGAUUCAAAGAUUAUACUUGUCAGAUUUUUUUUUACCUGGGACAUAAAAUAAUCUGAGAUUUGAAUUAUGUAUUUUGACACUUGUUAACCUCUUAAGGACAGAGACAAUUGUACAAGUUCUAAACAAAACAAAACCAAGACACACCCUAGAAUUUGACAAUAUGUCUGUUCAGUUGUAAUUCACCUCUUUAUUGUUAAGUGCACCCACAUUUAUUAUAUAUCAUUUUGUACAGGAGAAACAAGGCUCUCAUUUCACAUCAAAUAUUCAUAUAUGAAACAUAUUUUAUAUGAAUAAAAACUAAAAAAGUGUGAGAAGUUAAGAAAUUAAAUUUUCUUAGUUCUGCGUGACAUUUUAGCUGUGCAUGUCUUCAUACACUUAGCUUUUACUGCAGUAAAACACACAUAGUUGUAUUCAGCGAUGUCUCACGAGUACAGCAUAAAACUCCAUGUAUGGGUUUUAUGGGUUUUUGGAAAGUUACAGAGCAGGGGUGGACUGACAACUCACAGGGCCCCCAGGCAACAGGGAAUCAAGGGUCCCUCCUGCUGCAAGGAUUUUUGGAUACUGCUACACUUUUUUUUGUGCGUCGCUCACUCAGAUAUUAGGAGUUCGCUGCUUAGCACCCAGAAUGGCUUUGUGAGAGCCGCACAGUCAUGACUCAAAGCCGCAGUGCCCCCAAAAAGGCCAGAUUAACUUUUAAAGGGUUAAUCCAACCAAAAAGAGUGUUUUAAUAAAACACUGUCUUUGAUGGAGCAAUCCUUGCUGGCAUGCCUUGUUCCUUAAAAAAAUAAAGUAAAUUUAAUGAUACCCUUUCUCUGUGUUAGCUUGUAAUAUCACAAGCAGUGUCCCUCAUCAGUGCAAGCCUGCAAACUGCAACCUGUGGUUUGUCUUGUUUUACCUAUAUUACAGCAUUGCAGAAUAUGUUGAUCCUAUAUCAGUGAUUUUAUUUAUUUAUGAAAUAUAUUACCAGGAAAGAUAUAUUGAGAUUUAUCUCGUUUUCAAGUAUCUCCUGGGUCCACAAAACAUUACAUUGAUACUAAUUGUGUGUGUGUGUAAGGAGGCUGCAUGUGGUACUGCAUGUGUGGGAAUGGUGCUUAUAGGAUUGCGUGCAAUCAUUGAGGCUCCUUGUGGAGCGUGUGUGAAUGGUGCUGCUUGCAGUGUAGUAUGUGAGUGGAGAGGGCUGUUUGUAGCCUAUGGAGCAGCGCAGCUAAGGGGAAUGGGCCUUGACAUUGCUAAGAGACAGGCAUAGGAGGGGUAUAAUGUAGGGGAAUGGCUAGCAUAACCGGAGGAGGGGUUUGUGUUAGAUGAGUAUAUAGAGUGGCCAUUUUAGAUCAGUGGCCAUCUUAAUUAAUCCACACGUACCUGUUUGGCCCACCCUCCCUACCGUAUUUGGUCUCUAGCUCCCAUUUGGUCACGGUAGUGGGGAAUGGAUAGAGAAGUUGGGGUGUUUGUUCUUGUGACGGAACGCUGGCACUCCGACUGAGUACCUCCGCCAAUCGAUGCGCCUAGUGCUCGCUGAGGACUCCAAGCACUCCAACCGACACCAUCAGCACUGCAGACCCCACUUCCAGUGAUGCAGCUGCGCCGGGGUCUCGCCGUCUCCACCCAGGGUCCAGCUUGCAGUGGGGAACCUCUCUUUCCCCAGAGAGCAGAAACAGGAACAAGCUCUAAUCAGAGCUUAGUGAUCAUACCCAGGGGAGUAUAGUGAUUAUAGCAAUCCCCAGAGUGUAGUUCUCCAAUUCCCCAAACAUGAGCCAAGGCUUCAAGAAAGGUAGAAGAUGAUCUGAUUUUAAUGACCACACACCGGCUUUUAUGCAAGUCCCCAUGCAAGGGGACAUCCCACAGGGUGGGACACAGUACAACCAAUCAUUUACAGGAAAACAGGAAAACACACCCAGCACCAACAUACAAUCCCUCCCCUCUGCCUGUGAUAUAAUUACUGAACACAAUGGGUUAAUGUAAUUUAUCACAGGCAGGAAAAAUACACUUUUUACACAUAUACUGUAACUUUAAAAAUAUACAUCAUAUUCACAUAAAACAUACAUAUUCAGAAUCAGCAUACUUUAAAUAUAAACAUAACAAAAAAUCAUGCAAAUCCUUCCAUUAGUUCAAAAGUUAGUCGAAAGUCCUUUGUGACCAAAUGAAGCAUGGAUUUUCUGCCCAAAACCAGUUUCACAGUGUCUUCUAUCCUGGAGACAAUUGGGAAGUAAUCCAAUUAUCUCCAAAGACAGAGGCAAAACUCCAUUUAACACAUGGUUGCAAAAAGACAUACAAUUACACAAUGUUACAAUUACUACAUAAAACAUAUACAUGCAACAUAUCCCCAGAUAGCUUAGAUCUGAGCGCACAUUAUUACGAAAUAGUGCUCAGAUCACAUACAUACAGUUCAAUCGCCAUGGAGCCAAAGUCUUUUCCAUAGUCUUUUGUUACACAAAUAGGCUCCAUGGCAUAGCUAUCUGGGAUAGCACUACUACCAUACUGAAAGACCAGAACGCCCCGGCAGAAAUACACUAAUAAACCUUUCUGCAGGGGAAAAUACAGCUAUCAGCACAUGGGCCCUAGUCGGAAGGCAGGAGGCUAGCCAGUAGUCCCCUCCAGGCACAAGUGGCGAAGGGCACUUCGUCACAGUCCUGAUGGAAAAUAGUUUUGGUUUGCUAAAAACAGUUUGGUUUGGAAGAGUAUUGGUAGGUUCGAGCUCGUCGGUAGCUCUGAACCUGGUGUGUGUAGGGUGUAUCUUGGUAUGCCCCUACAUGGAAGAAAGCUGGAAACCAUGCCCUCGGUGGCAAUGGUUAUGUCAUGCCCUCGGUGGCAUUGCUUAUGUCAUGCCCUCGGUGGCAAUGGUUAUGUUAUAUUUUAAUUAUAUGUUAUAAUGUGGUUUUACUUAUUUUGUUGUGGGUCAUUGUCUGGCGUAGUAUUGUUAAAGGAGUUGGGGGGAUAUGUCAUGUUAAUCUGUGACAAUGACCCUAGAAUAUUUUAACUUUAUUUAUUAAUAAAGCUGUGAUAAUUUUCCCAAAUUAAGGUUUCCGAGUAUUUGUGGGGGGUUUGGGUUUAUCACGCAUAUGCCGUAUAGGCGACUAUGCAUAUGUUAUGUGUUGUAGUGCAUUUUUUGUGUAUAUGGGUUGUUGGAUGUGUUUUGGUAUAGAGGCUGUAGAAGGUGUAGUGGAAAUAGGGACUGUAGUGUGUGAAUGCGGUGAUAAGGGCAAUUGUAGGUGCAGGCGGGAUACUGGCUAUAGUGGGUGAGGAGAGAUAGGGGCUGUAGUGGGUGCAGGGCAGGCAUAGCGGCCUUGUAGGUACAUGGGUUCUGUAGUGGGUGCAGGGGCGAUAGAAGUACAGGCUGCACAGGAGAGCGAUAGGGGCAGCUUUGGUGCAGAGAGGGAUCGGGGCUGUUUGUUUUGGGUGUAGAGCAGGAUAUGAGCUUGGGGUGCAGGGAGGGAUAAUGGCUGUAGUGAGUGCAGUGGAGGAAUGGGUGCUUCAGUGGGUGCAGGGGGCAUAGAGACUGUAAGUGAAGGGGGGGCAUUAGGCAGGUGCAGGGGGCAUGGUGGCUGGAGUGGGAGCAUGUGGGACAUAUGGGCUGUAGUAGGUGCAAGUGGGGCACAGGGCUGUAGUGGGUGCAAUUAGGCAUAGGAUCUGUAAUGGGUCCAGGGGAGAGAAUGGGUGCUACUGUAGGUGCAUGGGGGGCAUAAGAUCUGUAGAAGUUGCAGGAGGGCAUAAGUUCUAUAGAGGGUGCAGGGGGUAUAGGGGCUGUAGAGCAUGCAUGGGGACACAUGGGCUUUAGUGGGUGCAGGGAGCUAUAUGAGCUGUAGUGGGUGCAGGGGAGAUCCAAUGGUGUGCAGGUAGGGCAAAAGAAAUGUAGUGGGUGCAGGGGGUAUAGGGUCUGUAGAGGGUGAAGGGGGCAUAGGGGCUGUAAUGUGUGCAGGGGGACACAGAGGCUUUAGUGGGUACAGGGGGAACAUGGGCUGUACUUGGUGCAGGGGAGGGACUGGCUGCUAUAGUUUGUGCAGGGGAUAUAUUGGUGCGGGGGACAUAAUCUCUGUAGAGAGUGCAGGGGGAUACAGAGGUGCAGGUGGGGCACAGGGGCUGUUGUGGGUGCAGUGAGGUAUAGGAGUUGUAGUGGGUGCAGGGGAGGGAUUGGGUGCUAUAGUGGAAGGGAGAUGGGUAGCAGGGUGGGCAUAAGGUCUGUAAUGGGUGCAGAGGGGCAGAUGGGCAUAGGGGCUGUAGAGAGUGCAGGGGGUAUAUGGGCUGUAGAAAGUGCAGGGGGCAUAGGGCUGUAGAGGUGCAAGGGGGACACGUGUGCUUUAGUUUAUUUAAGGGGGACAUGGAUAGUAAUUGGUGCAGGGGAAGGACUGGGCACUAUAGUUUGUGAGGAAUAGGGGCAGUAGUGGGUGCAAGGGGGGAAUAGUAUAUGUGUGUGUGUGCACUUUCAUUCUAAGUGUAUUUUUAUAUUAAUAUACUAUAUGUAUAUAUAUAUAUAUAUUAAUAUAAUUAUACACUAAGUAUGAAAGUAUAUAUAUAUAUAUAUAUAUAUAUAUAUAUAAAAUAAAAAAUAGUUCACGCCUUCAUCACAUUAAUUCAUCACAUUAAUUCCCAGAUAUGUGCCUUGGUACAAAAUUGAAGGAAGGUGUAGCGGAGAGGUAGUAUAAUCCACAGUAUCUCUGCUGGGUAACAGGAACAGCAUAAAAUCCUUCAAGCAAAAUAAGUACAGCAUGCAAUAAUCCCGGUAGCGUUGUAUAAAUCCUUCCUUCCCAAGAACUAGACGACACAUAGGCUGGGAGUCAACUGAGCUUUUAAUCACAGGUCACAGUAUUUAUGGGAUUCCCCACGCAAGGGGUUUCCCUACUGACAUUACAGGGGUUGUACAGUAGGGGACUACAUGGGGAACUUAACAACCCGGACAUUUCUCCCAUCAUUCACUGCUGCACAAGAGGGAUACUCCCACUAGAAUAUCCAGUUAAGUGGAUUAUCCCUCCAUGCAGCAGAACUGGCAUUUUACACAAAAAUACAUAACUUUCACAUUAUUCAUGUUAUUUUACCGAAUGACCGUUCGGUAGAUAGCUGGGGUCUGAGUACACCUUUCGUGAAAGUACCGCUCAGAUCCCAGCAUAAAUAACCGAACGCUGCACGAAAACACAUAUUAUUUUACAUUCACCUUAAAGUACCAAAUGUAUAUAGGGGAACAAACUACCGAAUGACCUGUGCUCCCGAACGGCCUGGAAGUCCAGCGGUAUUCAUGCCAUCGAGUAGCCGAUUUUAGUUCCAGGCGCUCGACGACCAAAUACCGCUGGGCUAACAAAGGAUCCAAGAUGGCCGACCGCCGCGUGACCACCCUGAAUCUCAAUAAUUACAGAAGGAUACAUUGUUACAAUACUUAAUGGGAGCCACACGACCUCCUGUGUGUGGUCUCCCAUUCGGUAGUUUGUUCGUUUCACGAACAGUGUUGAAAUUCACUGUUCGGGAAACUACUGUAUGAAUGCUGGUGGUUUUCCUGCCGCCAGCAUACAAAUGCUCUCGUUUGCAUAAAAUGAAGAAAUAGGUACAUGCUUGGUUCUCACAUUCUUAAAGUCACAGCAACACAUUAAUACACAUGCAGUCUUAAGUGGCUAGUUUUGCCACAGAAGGGUGCACUCAGAGGUCUCUAAAACAAUUAAAGUAGUAUUUAUUCCAACAUUAAAUCACAAAAGUGCUCGAUCGACGUUUUGACCCAUUUGGGUCUUUCUCAAGAUCAAUGUGACAUACAACAAAAUGUAAUUAUAUAGGAAAAGUAUAUUGUGUACUUACCAAUAGUGUGUGAACCUCUCCCAGAUCAGUGCCAACCCGGAAGUGAGUCGGGAAGGUAACAUGACGUGACGUAAAAAAAAGUGGUGACGUAGCGUGUCAUGGGGCCGUGGUUGCUAGUUAAUGAGUAUACAAAAGUGAGGGUCAUGAAAGAAGUGCACUGACAGUGCUAUACAAGACAUAAAGGAUAGAAAUGACACAUAAUCUGAGUAAUAGUGUGUUAUAAGGCAUCUAAUAUUAAAGACCAAGUACAAUGGACACUGAUGUGGGAGUAUAGGUGAAUAGGUGAAUACAAACGUAAAAGAAGUGUGAAAACUGUAAAAGAAGUGUGAAAGAUCAUGUGUGUGACAUGUGGAGAGAUGUGCCAAAAGAUAUACACAGUGUCCAAAAUAGAAAGGGUCCUUUGGUUCUUUAUGGGCUGUCAGUCAUUCCCCCUAAAGUGGAGCGCCGGGAAGCCAGGACCGGACUGGGAACUAAAAUCAGCCCUGGAAAAAAAAUUCAAUACCAGCCCAGUAAUGCAUCGCGCCAGCAUAGUGUGCUGAUAAAGAGGGUGAAAAAAUAACUUGAAAUUAAAAACUCUUACUCCAAUGAAGGAACGCAUAUAGGGCUUCAAUCUGAUCUGGUUAAUUUUGAAGUUCUAUGGGUGCACUCUUCACUUUGAAUAUGUUAUUGUGCAUGAGUAUGCAACUAGCAACAAGACAGGGCCAAUACGUGCUAAUUACAUACAUACAUAUAUAUAUAUAUAUAUAUAUGUAUAUAUUAAUGACAUUUAUGUGUGUAUUAUGCAUAUAUAAAUGUAUAUUACUAUAUGUGUAAAUAUUAUAGGCAUAAUUAUAUGUUACUAAUACACACAUCAAUAUACAUGCAUAUAUAUAUAUGUGUGUAUUACUGUCAGGAUCACAUCAAUUUAUGUCUAUUACCUUUACCUCGUUUAGUGUAUCUUGUCUCCAAUUGUCUCCUUUUUUUCUCUUACAGCGACCCUUGUGCAUCUUUUACUUCAUCCCAGUCCCUGUGUGUUUCUUUUUACCCUUCUCCAGCCUCUGUAUUUCUCUUUCCCCCAGCCCCUUUUGUGUUGUUCUUAGCCCCAGCCACUUUGUCUCUUUCUCCCCUUCCAAAUCUCAUCUGUGUGUCUCUUUCUAACUCCAGACUCUGUGUGCCUCUUUCUCUUCUCCCAGCCACUCUCUGUCUCUUUUUCCCCAGCCCAGCGUUGCCUCCCACAAAUCUUGUGUCACUUUGUUCCCCUUCCCUACUGUAUGUCUCUUUGUCCCCCCAACAAACCUUCUGUGUGUCUCUCUUCCCCAUCUCCUCUCUGUGUCUCUCUUCCCCAUCUCCUCCCUGUGUCUUUCUCUUACCCCUCUGUCUCUUUGUACCCACAUCCCCUGUGUCUCUCUAUUACCCCAUCUGUCUCUGAGUCCCCCCUUCUCCUGUGUCUCUCUAUUACCCCUCUCUUUGUCCCCCCAACCCCUAUGUCUCUCUAUUACCCCUCUGUCUCUUUGUCCCUCCCUUCCUGGUGUCUCUCUAUUACCCCAUCUGUCUAUGUGUCCCCCCUCCCCUGUCUCUCUAUUACCCCUCUGUCUCUUUGUUCCCCCCCAACCUGGUGUCUUUCUAUUACCCCUCAGUCUCUGUGCCCCCCUUCCCUUCUAUUUUUUCCCCCACCUUCCCCUUCCCCUUCUGUGUCCCUUCUGACCUUGUUACAGGAGGACUGAGGGAGGGGGCAGAGCUAACUACCAUGCUCCCUCGCGGUUCCCAUAAUUCCCAGCAUGGACACAUCAUAGAGUAGUGAUUACUCUAUGAUGUGUAGAUGUUGGGAAUUAUGGGAACCGCGAGGGAGCAUGGUAGUUAGCUCCGCCCCCUCCCUCAGUCCUCCUGUGCUGACAGCUAUGCUGCUGUCAGUAUCAGUGAGUGUGCUGCUGGAUCGCUUAGGCGGCCUCCCGGCACACUCAUUGAUACUGACAGCAGCAUAGCUGUCAGGACAGGAGAUGGGGCCACCGGCCGCAAGGUGAGUAAUCACCUCAGAGUGCGCCGCCGGAUCGGCCACCCGGCGGCACCGACAUGCGGCCAGCGGCCUAAAUAUUAUUAAAAUAUGUGGAGCAGGGCUCCCUCUCUUCAUGCAGCCCCCCCAGGUGCCGCGGCCCACCGGGAAAUUUCCCGGUAUCCUGGUGGGCCAGUCCGGCCCUGCGGGAAGCUAAGUAUCCCGGAGGCUCCAGGGUUCAACGUCGUUACGGCAUUCUCUGACGCCGCAAAGUCUUUAAAGCACAUUAAAUGCGGAACGGCAUAGAACGCUGUAACAGUAUUAUGGGGUUAAAAUCCAACUGGUUUUGUGAGACAGGAAAUAAUGUAAAAUAAGUGUUAAUCUUAAAUAUUUACAUAGCAAACGAAACUGAAAAAAAAAAGACUUAAGUCCAUCGAGUUCAAACUUUUAAAGUUUUUACUCAAGUUUUGAAUGCAAUGCUGUUUACUAGAUUCAUAAAAUAUGGCAAUGUCCGAUUUUGUCCUUGACCAAAACAUUAACAAAAUUGCUUCUUUAUAUACAUUUUGAUAUUCAUAAAUGCAUUUCUGUAAUUCUGUAAUUCACCAUAUUUUUCUGUCUAUAGCAUGUCACAUCAUCAUCUUCAUUACCAAUUACCACUAUUUAAUGUUUCGUUGUAUGCUUUUUAAAUGUCUUGUAAUAUCACACCUUCCCUUCACUCAAGAAUCUUGUUUAAAGGACUGCACUUCAGCUCGCUCUCCUCUUUGCUGACUAUACAUUUGCGAGAGAAGUAACUAGACAUUGAACCAUUUAAUAAAAUUAGUGUAACUAUCAAAUUCAGAGGUAUCCAUGUGCAUUCACACGCGCACACACUUGGUUAUUAUUCUGGCAUUUACCUAGGUGAUAAAAAACAUUAAACUGGCAUGUAGUAUUAAACCGACAGUGGAAGCAGGUGGCAUGAUGUGGCAUGAUGAAAUCUCAAUGUAUCCUUCCUAGUAAAAUAUUUUAGUAUUAAAUAAAUACAUAAAUAUGUCAGAAGUAUUUGAAUACUAUGGACUCUGGAAGAUUGGUCAAAGUUCCCAAUACUCAGAUACAUUUUAUUAAACAAGACAAUCAAAUAUACCUACAUAAUGUCUUCUUUAAGAAUCAUAUCUGAAUAACAGAUUGAGCCAAGUUGAGACUGUUUAUUAUUCCUUUGCGUCACCGAGGCCUCAGCAUCUUCCGCAAGAGAGUGAAAAGCCUAAAACAUCCUUUUACUCCGUUAGUGAUAAUUGUUAGAAAACCAGAGUGUGUUACACAAACUUUUAUAACUGUUUACUCCAAGAAUUGAGCUGUAAACAGACCUUGCAAAUGAGAAAAAUCCAGAAGUGUGACACUCAGUAUAGCUGCGCUGUUCCGCAGUGACGCAUAAAGUAAACCAAAAUGAAAUACUAUUACCAAAAUAAGCACGUUUAAACUGAUGGAAAAAAAGGUUAAAAAUAAAUAACAGAAAACAAAUAUAGUGUAGACUAUCUGAAUAGAUAUAUAAUGCACAAUAGGGGGUAUAGGAGAGAACUCACAUGGACCAGAGCCCUAUCACCCCUGGCUCUGGGUUUGAAAAGAUCCACUUGACAGGAAAGUAUCCCACACAUGGCUGACAGGAUCUGGAUGGUAUGCUCCCAGUAGUUAGAUGGUUCUAUGAAAUAUAUAAUACCCCUAAUCGAAUAGUAUCUUAAACACUUUAUUAUAAAAAUGGUUAAAAACGCUUACUUUGCAAGUGGUGGGUAUGCCAGCAAAACAUCACAAAUAAAGCAAGUUUUUAUGUGUGUGCCAGCACUCCCCCUCCUGCAGGUCACUGAAUGUAGCGUGACCAAGCAGAUCGCGCUCUAAGAGAGCACUUCUAGUGAUACCGGGUACCAUUAUCAGAUGUCAAAGGUAAGCUGGUACGGAAAGGGGAUGAGCAAGAGACACAUGGAUGGGUGAGGGGAGGGAAUGAGACACAUGGAGGGGCUGGGAGGAUCAGAUAUUUAGUAUCUCACAAAAGUGAGUACACCCCUCACAUUUUUGUAAAUAUUUUAUUAUAUCUUUUCAUGUGACAACACUAAAGACACUCUGCUACAAUGUAAAGUAGUAAGUGUACAGCCUGUAUAACAGUGUAAAUUUGCUGUCCCCUCAAAAUAACUCAACACACAGCCGUUAAUCUCUAAACCGUUGGCAACAAAAGUGAGGACACCCCUAAGUGGAAAUGUCCAAAUUGGGCCCAAAGUGUCAAUAUUUUGUGUGGCCACCAUUAUUUUCCAGCACUGCCUUAACCCUCAUGAGCUUGGAGUUCACCAGAGCUUCACAGGUUGCCACUGGAGUCCUCUUCCAUUCCUCCAUGAUGACAUCACGGAGCUGGUGGAUGUUAGAGACCUUGCGCUCCCCCACCUUCCGUUUGAGGAUGCAGCAGGGGUUUAGGUCUGGAGACAUGCUAGGCCAGUCUACCACCUUUAUCUUCAGCUUCUUUAGCAAGGCAGUGGUCGUCUUGGAGGUGUGUUUGGGGUCGUUAUCAUGUUGGAAUACUGCCCUGCAGCCCAGUAUCUGAAGGGAGGGGAUCAUGCUCUGCUUCAGUAUGUCACUGUACAUGUUGGCAUUCAUGGUUCCCUCAAUGAACUAUAACUCUCCAGUGCUGGUAGCACUCAGGCAGGCCCAGACCAUGACACUCCCAUCACCAUGCUUGACUGUAUUCAAGACACACUUGUCUUUGUACUCCUAACCUGGUUGCCGCCACACACGCUUGACGUGAUCUGAACCAAAUAGGUUUAUCUUGGUCUCAUCGGACCACAGAACAUGGUUCCAGUAAUUCAUAUCCUUAGUCUGCUUGUCUUCAGCAAACUGUUUGCGGGCAUUCUUGUGCAUCAUCUUUAGAAGAGACUUCCUUCUGGAACAACAGCCAUGCAGACCAAUUUGAUGCAGUUUGUGGCAUAUGGUCUAAGCACUAACAGGUUGACCCUCCACCCCUUCAACCUCUGCAGCAAUGCUGGCAGCACUCAUAAGUCUAUUUCCCAAAGACAACCUCUGGAUAUGACGCUGAGCACUUGCACUCAACUUCUUUGGAUGACCAUGGCGAGGCCUGUUCUGUGUGGAACUUGUUCUGUGAAACCGCUGUAUGGACUUGGCGAACGUGCUACAGCUCAGUGUCAGGGUCUUGGCAAUCUUCUUAUAGCCUAGGCCAUCUUUAUGUAGAGCAACAAUUCUUUUUUUUCAGAUCCUCAGAGAGUUCUUUGCAAUGAGGUGCCAUGUUGAACUUCCAGUGACCAAUAUGAAAGAGUGUUAGAGCGAUAACACCAAUUUUAACACACCUGCUCCCCUGUUACACCUGAGACCUUGUAACUAACGAGUCACAUGAAACCGGGGAGGGAAAAUGGCCAAAUGGGCCCAAUUUGAACAUUUCCAUUUAGAGGUGUACUCACUUUUGUUGCCAACAGUUUAGACAUUAAUGGCUGUGUGUUGAGUUAUUUUGAGGGGACAGAAAAUUUACACUGUUUACAUGCUGUACACUUACUACUUUACAUUGUAGCAGAGUGUCAUGUCUUUAGUGUUGUCACGUGAAACGAUAUAAUAAAAUAUUUACAAAAAUGUGAGGGGUGUACUCACUUUUGUGAGGUACUGUAUGUCAGGAUCGAGACAGGGAUCCAACACGCAGAGUGCAAUAAAAUAGAAAACCGUAUACUGGGCCUUAGAAUGGCCGGACUAACGUCUAGAAAGAACAAAGAAUGGUCGGGGACAAGCCGAGGUCGAGGGAGCCAGAAGACAGGUAAGCGAAUAACAAGCCAAGUCAAAGGGAAGGAGAAAGUAGAAUAGUCAAAAUCAGAGUCAAGACAAAUACCAGGAAAUCUAACCAGAAUAAGCACUAUGGGAACAGACAAGCUAGAACCAUGACAGGGCAAUGAUUCAUGGCAAGUUAGUACUUUUUAUAGGUUGGCUCUUUAAGUGAUGACCACGCCCCCAAAAUGUUCUAAUUCGCUACAUAAAAAGGGGCGGAGCUACCGCGCCCGGUGCCUGACCAGCCGAGAUGAUUGAAGGGAGUGGAGGAAUUUGCCGCAUCCUGGGGAGACGUACCCACAGGCUGGAUUUCUGACAGGGCAGAAACAACAGGUACCCUGACAGUACCCCCCUUUGAGAAAUGCCCAGCUGGCGGAAGGUACCAGGACGGGAAGGGAAGUAAGCAUGAAAAGCCAGUAGAAGACGGGGAGCAUGGACAUCCUCAUGAACCACCCAGGACCUUUCCUCAGGACCAUAACCCUUCCAAUCAACGAGGUACUGCAGCUUCCCACGGGACAUACAAGAGUCAAGAACAGACUUGACUUCAUAUUCCUCCUGACCCACAACCAGAAUGGAGGAAGGAGGAGAAGACAGAGAAGUAUAUCUGUUACAUAUCAGAGGCUUCAACAACGAGACAUGAAAGGAAUUGGGAAUGCGUAAAGCAGGUAGCACUUCUACGUUUAUCCGCAUGAUGUUUGGACAAUGCAGAAUUGUGAGAAAGGAUUUGAUGAGUCUGAUCCCAUAAUUUUCUCAGGUUGGCAACGUGUUCGUCAACCAUCGGUAUACCCUGUGAAGGUGAUACAGAAGGCAGAACGGUAGGAUGAAACCCAUAUUUCAAGAAAAAGGGGCUGUUUCGCAUGGAAUCACAAACAAGAUUGUUAUGUGCAAACUCAGCCCAAGGAAUCAGACCAACCCAAUUGUCCUGAUGUUCAGAAACAAAACAUUGUAGAUAUUGUUCAAUCUUCUGAUUAGUACGCUCGGCUGCACUGUUUGAUUGAGGAUGAUAGGCUGAUGAGAAAUUCAACUUGAAACCCAUUUGGAAACAGAAGGCCCUCCAAAACCAUGACACAAACUGAGAAUCCCUAUCUGAGAUGAUAUCCGUGGGAAUGCCGUGUAAACGGAAAACCUCUUUAGCAAAUAUAUCAGCCAAUUCAGGGGAGGAAGGCAAUUUAGGCAGGGAAAUAAAAUGAGCCAUUUUAGUAAAUCUAUCAACAACGGUGAGGAUUACGGUUUGUUUGUUAGAUACUGGCAAAUCAACAAUAAAGUCAAUAGCUAAACUGACCCAUGUUUUUUUCGGUAUGUACAAAGGUUGGAGUAAACCACACGGAAGAGUAUGUGGUUGUUUAUUUUUAGCACAUAUUUCGCAAGCCAUGACAUAGUCUCUUAUAUCCCUAGGUAAAGUAGGCCACCAGAAAUCCUUAGAAACAAGAGAAUAUGUUUUGUGUAUCCCAGGGUGGCCGGCUACUCUACUGUCAUAAAAACAUAGAAGCAAUUCCUCUUGGAAAACAGGAGGAACAUAACUCUUUCCCUCUAGACUUAGUUCUGGAACUAGAUAUUGCUUCUUCUCAAUAUUGGUAAUCAGAGGAGAAUGCACCUUCACGCUUGUGUUGGCUACAAUAUUCUGUUUGGGAACGAUAGAGGACAUAGCAGUUUCUGUGAAUGUAGAAGGCUCAUGUUGGCGUGACAAGGCACCUGCUUUAUAAUUUUUUGAUCCCGGUCUGUAAGUAAGUAUGUAGUUAAAACGAGUAAGGAACAAGGACCAACGAGCCUGUCUGACAGACAAUCUUUUAGCCUCUCCUAUAUAAGACAGGUUCUUAUGAUCUGUUAGAAUGGUAAUCGGGUGUAACGUCCCCUCUAACAGAUGUCUCCAUUCUUUCNNNNNNNNNNNNNNNNNNNNNNNNNNNNNNNNNNNNNNNNNNNNNNNNNNNNNNNNNNNNNNNNNNNNNNNNNNNNNNNNNNNNNNNNNNNNNNNNNNNNAAUGCCAAGAACUCCCUAUCUCCAAUGUCAUACCUUCUCUCUGUGUCAGAUAAUUUCUUUGAGAAGAACCCACAUGGAUGUAAAGGUUUAUCCAGACGUUGUCUUUGGGAUAAAACUGCCCCUAUAUCUGUUUCAGAGGCGUCUACUUCAAGUAAAAAGGGUAACGUGGUGUCGGGAUGAACCACUAUUGGAGCAGAGGCAAAGGUUUCCUUAAGAGUGUCAAAAGCAGACAAAGCAGAGGAUGACCAUGACUUGGUAUUAGCACCUUUUUUAGUCAUGUUGGUUAUAGGUGCUACUAUGGAUGAGAAUCCUUUAAUGAAGCUCCUAUAGUAAUUGGAAAAUGGCUUUAAGUCCCCUUGGUAAAGGCCAUUGUAAAAUAGAUUUAAAGGACCACUAUAGGCACCCAGACCACUUCAGCUUAAUGAAGUGGUCUGGGUGCCUGGUCCAGCUAGGAUUAGCCCUUUUUUUCUGUAAACAUAGCAGUUUCUGGGAAACUGCUAUGUUUACCUAUGGGUUAAUCCAGCCUAAAGUGGCUGUCUCAUUGACAGCCGCUAGAGGCGCUUCCACGCUAAGAUGCCAGCGUCCAUUGAGAAUGCUUUCCUGUGGACUCGCUGAAUGCACGCGCAUUCAGCCGGUGACGGAAGAAGAGGGAGGAGAGGAGGAGGAGAGCUCCCAGCCCGGCGCUGGAGAAAGAGGUAAGUUUAACCCCUUCCUCCCCCUAGAGCCGUGCGGGAGGGGGACCCUGAGGGUGGGGGCACCCUCAGGGCACUAUAAUGCCAGGAAAACGAGUAUGUUUUCCUGGCACUAUAGUGAUCCUUUAAGCUUAAUCGGGUCCAUCAUAAAACCAUCGCUGUAGAUGAUAUACCCUAAGAAACCUAUCCGAGAUUUUUCACGUGUCUAUGAUGAGUUUCUCUGUCUUUGGAAUGGAUCAGUAUAUCGUCCAGGUAUACUAUAACACAUUCAUGUUGAAAGUCCCUUAGGACCUCAUUAAUUAGGUCUUGAAAAACAGCCGGGGCAUUACAUAGUCCGAAUGGCAUUACAGUGUACUCGUAAUGGCCGUAACGAGUAUUGAAGGCUGUUUUCCAUUCAUCUCCCUCACAAAUUCUUACCAAGUUAUAAGCUCCUCUUAAAUCUAAUUUGGUAAAAAUCUUGGAGCCCUUUAAUCUGUCAAACAACUCUGUAAUCAGAGGAAAAGGGUAAGCAUUUCUAAUAGUAAUAUGGAGGGCCUGGGGGGAAUGAGACACAAGGAGGGGCAGUGGGGAAGAAUGAGACACAUGCAGGGUCUGGAGCGAGAAUGAGACACAUAAAGGGACUGGGAGUGAAUGAGACACGUGUAAGGGCUGUGGGGGGGAUGAGACACAUGGGGGGAGCUGGGGGGAAUGAGACACAUGGAUGUGCUGAUUGGGAGAAUAAGACACACGGAGGGCCUGGGGGGGAAUGAGACACAUAGGGGGGGGCAAUUUUUGCACCUCUGAACUCAGUGGUUUCUAGUUACGCCUCUGAUCACAGGGAUGAAAAAAAGAGACAACAAAAGAAAAUAUAUAAUGGUGAACUUGAAAGCCUUUAAGGGACACUGUAGGCACCCAAACUGCAUCAUCUCAAUAAAGUGGUUAUAGCUUCUAGAUUUCUCUGGCACUGUUCUUCCAUUCAGUAUUAAACCAUGUUUAAGCAAAAGUCUCCAGCAACCAAGNNNNNNNNNNNNNNNNNNNNNNNNNNNNNNNNNNNNNNNNNNNNNNNNNNNNNNNNNNNNNNNNNNNNNNNNNNNNNNNNNNNNNNNNNNNNNNNNNNNNCUCAUCUGUCCUUGGAGUAAUUAAGAAGCAUAUUAGCCUGAGCAGCAAAGGAUGUUUGUGAUUGCCUGAAAGUGUCAGCUGACUACAUUAAGCCCAUCACAGUGUCAUUGCAGGUAUGAAUUUGUAUGGCUUCAAGGAAGCCAUGCCCAACUUAAUCUUAUCACUAGUGAUGUCGCGUACACGAAAUUUUCGGUUCGCGAAUGGCGAACGCGAACUUCCGCAAAUGUUCGCGAACCGGCGAACCGCGCGAACCGCCAUAGACUUCAAUGGGCAGGCGAAUUUUAAAACACACAGGGACUCUUUCUGGCCACAAUAGGGAUGGAAAAGUUGUUUCAAGGGGACUAACACCUGGACUGUGGCAUGCCGGAGGGGGAUCCAUGGCAAAACUCCCAUGGAAAAUUACACAGUUGAUACAGAGUCUGGUUUUAAUCCAUAAAGGGCAGAAAUCACCUAACAUUCCUAAAUCACAAUCAAUAUGGAUUGACACCUGACAUAUGACAUAUUGACACCUUGACAUAUGGAUUGACACCUGUCCUCAGAGCCCCUGAUGCACACGGACACAGAGCAGAAUAGGGACUGGUCCCCCUACAUAGUGUCACUUGGCACAUAUGGAUUGACAACUGUCCUAAGGAUCCCUGAUACACACUGACACAGAGCAGAAUAGGGACUGUUCCUCCUACAUAGGGUCACUUGGCAGAUAUGGAUUGACACCUGUCCUCAGAGACCAUGAUACACACUGACACAGAGCAGAAUAGAGACUGUUCCCCUACAUAGGGUCACUUGGCAGAUAUGGAUUGACACCUGUCCCCAGAGACCACUGAUACACACUGACACAGAGCAGAAUAGGGACUGUUCCCCUACAUCGGGUCACUUGGCAGGUAUGGAUUGACACCUGUCCUCAGGACCCUGAUACACACUGACACAGAGCAGAAUAGGGACUGUUCCUCCUACAUAGGGUCACUUGGCAGAUAUGGAUUGACACCUGUCCUCAGAGACCAUGAUACACACUGACACAGAGCAGAAUAUGUUCCCCUACAUAGGGUCACUUGGGAACACCUGUCUGACACACUAGCAGAAUAGGGACUGUUCCCUACAUCAGGUCACUUGGCAGAUAUGGAUUGACACCUUGUUACAAACUGCUAUUUGUAACGGGCCCUUUAAAUGGCAAAUUGCCCUGCUUCCCUGGGUUGUGGAGAAGCCUAUUUGCCAGCCUCCUCCCGCAUGACUAUGGCCCCUGGGAGAUUUUGAAAAUGUAUGCACUUUUAUUUGGUGUGUAUGGCCUUUAAGACUGUCAGUGGGCAUAUUGGGGCUUAUGGACUCUUUAUGUGACUGGUGCUGGCCCUUUAAACACCUUUUUGGGACAUCAGGAAGAUUGGGACACUGCCCCUUUAAGGCCGUGUCCCCAGACUUGUUGGGGACACUGCCCCUUUAAGACGGUGUCCCCUGUGUCCCCAGACCUGGUGCAAACCUUUGUGCCUGCCUGGCUAAUUCCCACUUGGUUCAGUAAAUGGGGCUUACUGAACCAAGUACCACACAGGCAGACCACCCAGAAGUGGAAGUGUGCAGGCAAUUUACCUCCCAGAAGCUGCGGUUAACCGCAGCUUAAUUGACAAUGCUGGGAGGUCUUUGUUCGUUUGCCGAACACGUGGCGGCGACCAUCUUUGAUCAUUCGACGAGGUCAGUGGUAUGUGUAGCCAAAUUCAUGGAACUAAAAUCGGCUACACAUUUCCGCGAACACCGCUGAGCUCUACCUUCUCCCCUACUGGUUUACAGCUGCAGAGACUAAGUCCCAUUCGGCGAUGGGACUUAGUCUUUUUUUCAGCCUUAUUUCAGCUGCAGAGACUAAGUCCCAUUCGGCGAUGGGACUUAGUCGUUUUUUCAGCCUGAANNNNNNNNNNNNNNNNNNNNNNNNNNNNNNNNNNNNNNNNNNNNNNNNNNNNNNNNNNNNNNNNNNNNNNNNNNNNNNNNNNNNNNNNNNNNNNNNNNNNGAUCCUGUGCUUGGCCAUCCCCCCCCUCCCCCCUCCCCACCCAAAAAUAAAAAAUAACCUGUAAAAAAUGUUAAAGGUUUUCUUUCUUUUUUUUUACAAUUUGUAAACUUUGCAAAACCGCUGUCAGCCCCUCCUACAAAACCCUUGUCCUGCCCUGCCCCUCCUACAAAACCUCUGUCCUGCCCCUUUUACAAAUCCUGUACUGCCCCAUCUACAAAACCCCCGCAACCCCCUUCCACAAAUCCCCUGCUUAUCCCCCCUUAUAAAGACUCCUGUCCCAAUACAAAACCCCCGCCCCCUUCUACAAAAUCCCUGCAGCCCCACACACACAUUUACAGGCAGACAGUCACACACUCAGUUACAGACAGACAGUCACACACUGUUACAGGCAGACAGUCACACACUGUUACAGGCAGACAGUCACACAUACACAUUUCCUCUGUGCGGCCAGUUUAUCAGCUGUUUGCUUGUGUGAGCUGUACGGCACCCUAACUACCAUGGGACACUGUGCGGCCACAGCUCACACAGCCCCCUCCAGCCAGGGCCGGUGCAAGGAUUUUUGCCGCCCUAGGCAAAAGUAAAGUUUGCCGCCCCCCCAUGUGACAUCACAAUGCCCCACCCAUAUGAUCUGCCAUGUUAACUAACACCAGUGCUGCAGUGCCGCCGUGUUUACAUUAAAAGGCCUGUAGGGACAGGCUAUAGACACCAGAACCACUACAUUAAGCUGCAGUGGUUCUGGGGACUAUAGUGUUUCUUUAAUGUGAGGUAAAUUAGAGAUUAGUGCCACGAAUAAUAUACUAGAUUGCCUACUUACAACCAGAUGAGGAUGAUGAUGGGCUCUAGCUGCAGUCUGGCUCCACUGGUCUGGUGUAGAACAGGCUUCUGGAGGCGGUUUGUAACUGUGGUCACAAAAAUCAAUGUUCUGGGAGAACGGGAAGCAGCUCCAUUUUUUGGGGGGCCCUUUACACAGCUCAAGGUCUGGGUCCCAGGGUCCACCUUCAUGUUCCACCAAUGAGUUUGUUCACAGGGGGUGGAAUGUGUAGGGGAUGUCCUGAUAUGUGUAAGGAAUGCAUUGUGUGAAAUUGUGUUUGUAUGUGUAAGGACUGCAAGGUGUGUUUCUGUGUAUGUAUGGGAUGCAUUGAAUGUGUGUAAGGGGUGCAUUGAGUGUGUGUAAUGAAUGCAUGGUGUGUUUCUGUGUGUGUAAGGGAUGCAUUGUGUGUAACGGUUGCAUUGCUUGUGUAUGUGUGUCUGUGUGUGUAAUGCAUUGUGUGUUUUUCUGUGUGCAAGGGGUGUAUUGUGUGUAUGUGAUGAAUGUCAAUCUCUCCUCCCGCUCCAAUUUCCUUCUCCUCCUCCCAAUUUCUCUUUCUCACCCCCCUCCUAAUUUCUCUCCCCCCCUAAUAUCUCUUCCCUCCCUCCUAAUUUCAAUUUCUCCCUCCCUCCUAUUUUCUCUCUCAGCCCCCUCCUAAUUUCUCUCCCCCCCUAAUUUCUCUUUCCCCCCUAAUUUCUCUUUCCCCCCUCCUAAUAUCUCUUCCCCCCUCNNNNNNNNNNNNNNNNNNNNNNNNNNNNNNNNNNNNNNNNNNNNNNNNNNNNNNNNNNNNNNNNNNNNNNNNNNNNNNNNNNNNNNNNNNNNNNNNNNNNGACACAGAAGCUGGCAGCAGUGGCAGACAACUGACUGCUAUUCAAUCUAUAACAGUGAAAAAAGUUUUUUUUCUUAAAUGCAAGCUAUUGUGACACCAGUGAGUGGUGGCACUGGGCACCGUAUCCACUGUUAGCGUAACACACCCGCUUUAAGGACACUGACUGCUAUUCAAUCUAUAACAGUGAANNNNNNNNNNNNNNNNNNNNNNNNNNNNNNNNNNNNNNNNNNNNNNNNNNNNNNNNNNNNNNNNNNNNNNNNNNNNNNNNNNNNNNNNNNNNNNNNNNNNUAUAACAGUGAAAAAAGUUUUUUGUUUUUAAAUGCAAGCUAUUAUGACACCAAUGAGUGGUGGCACUGGGCACGGUAUCCACUGUUAGCGUAACACACCCGCUUUAAGGACACUGACUGCUAUUCAAUCUAUAACAGUGAAAAAAAGUUUUUUGUUUUUAAAUCCAAGCUAUUGUGACACCAGAUAUAAGUGGUGAAAACUUGAAGGCUGAAAUAGGCACGAAAAGAGUAAUGCACUGUGAACUGACACAGAAGCUGGCAGCAGUGGCAGACAACGGCGCUAUUCAAUCUAUAACAGUGAAAAAAGUUUUUUGUUUUAAAUCCAAGCUAUUGUGACGCCAGAUAUAAGUGGUGGCACUGGUCACCGUAUCCACUGUUAGCGUAACACACCCGCUUUAAGGACACUGACUGCUAUUCAAUCUAUAACAGUGAAAAAAGUUUUUUGUUUUUAAAUCCAAGCUAUUGUGACACCAGAUAUAAGUGGUGGCACUGGGCAGCGUAUCCACUGUUAGCGUAACACACCCGCUUUAAGGACACUGACUGCUAUUCAAUCUACACCAGUGAAAAAAGUUUUUUGGUUUUAAAUGCAAGCUAUUGUGACACCAGUGAGUGAGUGGUGGCACUGGGCACAGUAUCCACUGUGAGCCUGACACUCCCGCUUUGAGACAACUAACUGCUAUUCAAUCUAUAACAGUGAAAAAAGUUUUUUGUUUUUAAAUGCAAGCUAUUGUGACACCAGUGAGUGGUGGCACUGGGCACCGUGUCCACUGUGAGCUUAACACACCCGCUUUAAGGACACUGACUGCUAUUCAAUCUAUAACAGUGAAAAAAGUUUUUUUGUUUUUAAAUGCAAGCCUAUGACACCAGUGAGUGGUGGCACUGGGCACCGAUCCACUGUUACGCAAUUUCCACACCCGCUUUAAGGACACUGACUGCUAUUCAAUCUAUAACAGUGAAAAAAGUUUUUUGUUUUUAAAUGCAAGCUAUUAUGACACCAGUGAGUGGUGGCACCGUAUCCACUGUUAGCGUAACACACCCGCUUUAAGGACACUGACUGCUAUUCAAUCUAUAACAGUGGAAAAAAGUUUUUUUUUUUAAAUGCAAGCUAUUGUGACACCAGAUAUAAAUGGUGGCACAGACUGGGGAAAUGGGCACAGUAUCCACUGUGAGCCUGACACAGAAGCUGGCAGCAGUGGCAGACAACUGACUGCUAUUCAAUCUAUAACAGUGAAAAAAAAUUUUUUUUUAAAAUGCAAGCUAUUGUGACACCAGAAAUAAGUGGUGGCACUGACUGGGGAAAUGGGCACAGUAUCCACUGUGAGCCUGACACAGAAGCUGGCAGCAGUGGCAGACAACUGACUGCUAUUCAAUCUAUAACAGUGAAAAAACUUUUUUUUUUUUAAAUGCAAGCUAUUGUGACACCAGUGAGUGGUGGCACUGGGCACCAUAUCCACUGUGAGCCUGACACACCCGCUUUAAGGACACUGACUGCUAUUCAACCUAUAACAGUGAAAAAAGUUUUUUUGUUUUUAAAUGCAAGCUAUUAUGACACCAGUGAGUGGUGGCACUGGGCACCGUAUCCACUGUGAGCUUGACACACCCGCUUUAAAGACACUGACUGCUAUUCAAUCUAUAACAGUGAAAAAAGUUUUUUGUUUUUAAAUGCAAGCUAUUAUGACACCAAUGAGUGGUGGCACUGGGCACCGUAUCCACUGUUAGCGUAACACACCCGCUUUAAGGACACUGACUGCUAUUCAAUCUAUAACAGUGAAAAAAGUUUUUUGUUUUUAAAUGCAAGCUAUUGUGACACCAGAUAUAAGUGGUGGCACUGACUGGGGAAAUGGGCACAGUAUCCACUGUGAGCCUGACACAGAAGCUGGCAGCAGUGGCAGACAACUGACUGCUAUUCAAUCUAUAACAGUGAAAAAAGUUGUUUUUUUUUAAAUGCAAGCUAUUGUGACACCAGAUAUAAAUGGUGGCACUGACUGGGGAAAUGGGCACAGUAUCCACUGUAAGCCUGACACAGAAGCUGGCAGCAGUGGCAGACAACUUACUGCAAUUACAUUACAUAGAAAUUUUUUUUAUAAAAAAGCAUACCCUAACCCUAACCUAGCUAUGCAUUUCCCUAUCUAAUCAACAGCAGCUACACUUUCCCUCCUCUCACUAAGCAUGCAGCUUGAGAAUGAAUGUAAAAUGGAUGCCUUCCAGUAGGUGGGAGGGUCUGCUAGGGAGGGUGUGCUGCUAAUUGGCUGGAAUGUGUCUGCUGACUGUGAGGUACAGGGUCAAAGUUUACUCAAUGAUGACGAAUAGGGGGCGGAUCGAACCGCGCAUAUGUUCGCCCGCCGUGGCGAACGCGAACAUGCUAUGUUCGCCAGGAACCGUUCGCCAGCGAACCAUUCGGUACAUCACUACUUAUCACCAGUGGAAGCAGGUCUAUGGCAAGCCAGGUACCCUCAUUCAGCAUUUAUCUGCUUGAAAGUGGUUUAAGACUGAAAGAGUACAGAAAAAAGGAGAAAUUAAACAAUGUGUAUAUUUCAUCUAUUCAGUUGCAAUAUUUGCCCUGGCUUUGCCUUGUCAGAAUUGCUUUAUGAUAUAGUUUGCUAAAUCUUUCAUUAAAAUUUAAACAGAAACACAAAAAAAAAGGGUUGUCAGGUUAUAAGCGAUUUUCAAUAUUUUACUCAAUGAUGUAAAAUUGACAGCAACUGACUACAGACAGGUUGUGAUAUACUUGCGUGUAUGUCUGCCUUUCCAUCCUUUGCCUUCUAAUGCUCAUAGCAAGUCAGCUCACUCCAUACUCUCAUUGGCUGAGCUGUGUAUGUACGCUGAUAAGGAAGUCCUUUUUCUGGAUUGGGAGGUGUGGCUUUCAUUUUAUUUUUUGUACGCAAAAAGUACAGCAUAUCGAUGAUAUUUGUGUCGGUGCACUGAAUAUCUACUUUCAAGCUGUUAACAUAACUGAUUUUAUUAUGUUUUUAUGAUUUUUUAAUUGUAUUUAUUCCUAUUUACAGAGCAUUCUGCAAUGUCUGGCUGAAGCGUUCACAAGAAAAUAUUUUUCCUGGGGCAACUUUAACAAUGGACAAUUUUGGCGUAUUUCAGUACCCCAUUUAUCGAUGGAUAAUCAUUGCUGCAUUGUGUUUUAUCUUUCUUAUAAGUUGUUUAAGGUUACUGUUUAAGUGUUGCAAAUUAAUUAAUCACACAGGUACUAACGAGACAGCAGACUCUACCACCAUUUCUACUAUCAAUUCUCAGUUUAAUACGGGAUACCAAUCAAAUCAAGAUAGACCUCAUUUCGAAAGUCAGCAUUUUCCAAGUACUACAGACCCGCUGUCGGAACCCUUUCGCUUCGCUACAGCUCCUAACCAGGCCUAUUUGCAUGACACAAACUUUACUAUAGCUCAAACAACGCUCAUACAAGAUAUACCUCCUAGCUAUGAAGACGUCAUUAGACAGAAAUGUUAACCUGCAAUUAAUGUAUCAUUUGUAUGAAGUAUUUUCUUACAUCUAUUUACAUCUAACUGCCAGACAGCUGAUAGUUGUGAUGCAAUCUUUUUAUUCUUCAUCUAACCUAGUCUAGGUCAUUCAGAAAAUUAAUCUUGCACUGAUUGGCACUAAAAAUCUGAUGUUUUUAAGGCUUCAACCAGAAACAGCAAAACAAGUAAAGUUUUCAAAACUAAACUGCAAUAAUGCAGAGUCCAUCAGAGAUAUAGGGCUGGUAUAUUGCCUUGAGAACUUCAGGACUCAACUCUUGGUUUUAUUUUUCUUAUCUAAUACAAUUACGUUGCAUUUUGAACCCAUGUCAGAGGUAUUAAGUGGGUUCCUCUGUGAGUGUCUCCAAGCCGCUGAGUGGAGACAAACAUUAAAAGAAAGAUGCAUCAGUUUUCUAUGCUGUGCAGAGACACAGAAUCCUGGGAGGUACCACCUACUGAAGGUAGCCCAUGGAGCAGCGCAGCUAAGUUGAAUGGUCCUUGACAUGGCUAGGAGACAGGCAUAGGAGGUGUUUAGUGUUGAGGUUUG
Molecule: long non-coding RNA, 23429 nt
Filed under: Pelobates cultripes (western spadefoot toad)
Lineage: Eukaryota; Metazoa; Chordata; Amphibia; Anura; Pelobatidae
Source: RNAcentral